GGAGACUGCAGUAGGAGAUCAAUGAAGGGAAAGGAUCAGAGAGGAGGCAGAGAUAAAAGUGAGAGCGAAGUGAGUGGAAGAGACAGAAGGAAAGAGCAAGAGGUAAAUAGAAAGGGAAAGAAAGAGAGAGAGAGAGAGAGAAGAGAGAGAGGGGAAAGAGAGAGGUAAAUAGAAAGGGGAAGAAAGAGAGAGAGAGAAGAGAGAGAGGGGAAAGAGAGGUAAAUAGAAAGGGAAAGAAAGAGAGAGAGAAGAGAGAGGGGAAAGAGAGAGGUAAAUAGAAAGGGGAAGAAAGAGAGAGAGAGAGAGAGAGAGGGGAAAGAGAGAGGUAAAUAGAAAAGGGAAGAAAGAGAGAGAGAGAGAAUGAGGGGAAAGCUAAAAUAGCUAAAACAGAUUCGGAGAAGAAGUUUUACGUGCCCCCAACCAAUUGUAUUUUUUGUUCUUUUAUGUGUGUUUUUUGUAACUUAUUUUGUACAUAAUGUUGCCACUACCAUCACUUAGGAUCAAAAAUAACUUCUGGACAUCAGGACUGCUAUUACUCACCACGGACUGGAUGAAUAAUUUUUUUCCUUUAACGAGUCUGACGAGCGCGACAAACAAUAUAGUGCUUUCCCGGGAACAGGCCCAGAUCCCCGUGAUGUGCGUGAAGACGAGGCGUAGAAAAAGGGGCCUGAGGGCGGGCUGCCUUCUGAGAACUUGUAGGCGAUCGAAUAAACCCCCACUUCCUUCCAUUCUGCUAGCAAACGUGAAAUCUUUGGACAAUAAAAUAGAUGACCUACGCAGAAGAUUAAUCUACCAACGGGACAUUCAAAACUGUAAUAUCUUAUGCUUCACGGAGUCGUGGCUGAACGACGACACUAUCAACAUAUAGCUGGCUGGUUAUACACUGCACUGGCAGGAUAGAACAAUGGCGUCUGCAUCGUCCCUUACAGAAUGCAGCAGCCAUCAAAUGAAGCAUCAGGGAGUGCUGGCGGUUCGGAUGGUGGUGACAUCGGGUUCGGGGACUGCCACUGAUGGAACCGGGGGUGCCUUAGCUGGAUCGUUGGGUUUCCAUGCCCUAGCCGGCUCCAGAGGUUUCUUUGCCCCGGUUGUCUCUGAAGGCGCACAUCCCACAUCAGGCCUC
This 1120-nucleotide long non-coding RNA is filed under the name Salmo salar (Atlantic salmon). RNAcentral describes it as "lncRNA (ENSSSAG00000105941.1)". Lineage: Eukaryota; Metazoa; Chordata; Actinopteri; Salmoniformes; Salmonidae. The record is from RNAcentral.